AAAACUGUGCAGUGGCAAUAUCAUAGCCAGUGAGGUUUAUCCGAGACAUGAUUAUUGCUAAUUGAAGUGGUUCAUUGAUGGUCUUCUCAUUUCUCAUGUAUUUCUAUAAAU
Molecule: small nuclear RNA, 111 nt
Organism: Naja naja (Indian cobra)
Lineage: Eukaryota; Metazoa; Chordata; Lepidosauria; Squamata; Elapidae
Gene: U4
Rfam family: U4 spliceosomal RNA
About the family: U4 small nuclear RNA (U4 snRNA) is a component of the major U2-dependent spliceosome. The structure of U4 snRNA from yeast and human has been reported.
Source: Ensembl